GACGAACGCUGGCGGCGUGCUUAACACAUGCAAGUCGAACGGAAAGGCCCUGCUUUUGUGGGGUGCUCGAGUGGCGAACGGGUGAGUAACACGUGAGUAACCUGCCCUUGACUUUGGGAUAACUUCAGGAAACUGGGGCUAAUACCGGAUAGGAGCUCCUGCUGCAUGGUGGGGGUUGGAAAGUUUCGGCGGUUGGGGAUGGACUCGCGGCUUAUCAGCUUGUUGGUGGGGUAGUGGCUUACCAAGGCUUUGACGGGUAGCCGGCCUGAGAGGGUGACCGGCCACAUUGGGACUGAGAUACGGCCCAGACUCCUAAGGGAGGCAGCAGUGGGGAAUAUUGCACGAUGGGCGGAAGCCUGAUGCAGCAACGCCGCGUGCGGGAUGACGGCCUUCGGGUUGUAAACCGCUUUCGCCUGUGACGAAGCGUGAGUGACGGUAAUGGGUAAAGAAGCACCGGCUAACUACGUG
RNAcentral lists this ribosomal RNA (468 nucleotides) under uncultured bacterium. RNAcentral's name for it is "partial 16S ribosomal RNA". It matches the Rfam family "Bacterial small subunit ribosomal RNA", at positions 28 to 507 of the family's 1533-position model. The record is from RNAcentral.